RNAcentral lists this ribosomal RNA (495 nucleotides) under uncultured bacterium. Its description in RNAcentral is "partial 16S ribosomal RNA". It matches the Rfam family "Bacterial small subunit ribosomal RNA", at positions 28 to 505 of the family's 1533-position model. The record is from RNAcentral.
GAUGAACGCUGGCGGCGUGCCUAAUACAUGCAAGUCGAGCGAACAGACGAGGAGCUUGCUCCUCUGACGUUAGCGGCGGACGGGUGAGUAACACGUGGAUAACCUACCUAUAAGACUGGGAUAACUUCGGGAAACCGGAGCUAAUACCGGAUAAUAUAUUGAACCGCAUGGUUCAAUAGUGAAAGACGGUUUUGCUGUCACUUAUAGAUGGAUCCGCGCCGCAUUAGCUAGUUGGUAAGGUAACGGCUUACCAAGGCAACGAUGCGUAGCCGACCUGAGAGGGUGAUCGGCCACAAUGGAACUGAGACACGGUCCAGACUCCUACGGGAGGCAGCAGUAGGGAAUCUUCCGCAAUGGGCGAAAGCCUGACGGAGCAACGCCGCGUGAGUGAUGAAGGUCUUCGGAUCGUAAAACUCUGUUAUUAGGGAAGAAAAAAUGUGUAAGUAACUAGGCACGUCGUGACGGUACCUAAUCAGAAAGCCACGGCUAACUACG